Long non-coding RNA from Eriocheir sinensis (Chinese mitten crab), 611 nucleotides. RefSeq lists it as uncharacterized. The record is from RefSeq and is a predicted model, not a curated record. The transcript is spliced from 4 exons. Lineage: Eukaryota; Metazoa; Arthropoda; Malacostraca; Decapoda; Varunidae.
UUUACAAGUUUAUUUUCCCUUCGUCGUCCGUACAGCGGCCUCGAUCGUUCCUUAGUCCUUACAUACACACAUCGAGUCGUAUUACAAGACAUUUCGCCGGCCAAGAACACAUAUUUGACAAGGCUUUCGUAGGAUUUGUGGGCAUUUCCAGGGGUAGUUUUAUGACCCUGGUGGUAGUGUGAGUCUUCCUCUGUACCGUGAACCUGAAGAAACACAUAUUUGACAAGGCCUUCGUAGGAGUUGUGGGCAUUUCCAGGGGUAGUUUUAUGACCCUGGUGGUAGUUUGACCCUUCUUCUGUACCGUGAACCUAGAAACACAUAUUUGACAAGGCUUUCGUAGGAGUUGUGGGCAUUUCCAGGGGUAGUUUUAUGACCCUGGUGGUAGUUUGACCCUUCUUCUGUACCGUGAACCUAGAAACACAUAUUUGACAAGGCUUUCGUAGGAGUUGUGGGCAUUUCCAGGGGUAGUUUUAUGACCCUGGUGGUAGUUUGACCCUUCUUCUGUACCGUGAACCUAGAAACACAUAUUUGACAAGGCUUUCGUAGGAGUUGUGGGCAUUUCCAGGGGUAGUUUUAUGACCCUGGUGGUAGUGUGACCCUUCUUCUGUACC